Molecule: ribosomal RNA, 502 nt
Filed under: uncultured bacterium
Lineage: Bacteria
Description: partial 16S ribosomal RNA
Rfam family: Bacterial small subunit ribosomal RNA
Source: RNAcentral
AACGAACGCUGGCGGCAUGCCUAACACAUGCAAGUCGAACGGCAGCACAAUGUGUAGCAAUACACAUGGGUGGCGAGUGGCGGACGGGUGCGUAACGCGUAGGAAUCUGCCCUGAAGCGGGUGACAACCCGAGGAAACUCGGGCUAAUACCGCAUAAUCUCGAGAGAGAAAAGCUGGGGAAACCUGGCACUUCAGGAGGAGUAUGCGUCCGAUUAUCUAGUUAGUAGGGUAAAAGCCUACCAAGGCGAUGAUCGGGAGUUGGUCUGAGAGGAUGAUCAGACCAACUGGGACUGAGACACGGCACAGACUGCUACGGGAGGCAGCAGUGGGGGAUAUUGGACAAUGGGGGCAACCCUGAUCCAGCAAUGCCGCGUGUGUGAAGAAGGCCUUCGGGUUGUAAAGCACUUUAGUUGGGGAAGAAGAUGUGUAGUUUAAGAGAUGACACAUUUGACGGUACCCAAAGAAUAAGCACCGGCUAACUCUGUGCCAGCAGCCGCCGCAG